UGCAAAUUGCACUAGAUACAAUAAAUGAUUGUUGCUUAUGAGUGUGAUUCAGUAAUUAUUUUAGAGAGUAUAUUAAAAUAAUAAUAAUUCUACUAUUAUUGUAAAGGAUAACUCCAUGACUUCACAUAUGGCACUCAUUUCUACACUAGUCGAGUAUGUAAUCUCCACAUUCUUGAAAAAGAUGCAUAUAAUUUACUGAUGCUCGUUCCUUAGCACCUCAAACUAAUAUUAAUUGGUGUGUUUUAGGAAUCAUCCUAGUGAGACUCCAAUUAAAAUUUUCUUAAAAUAUCUUGUAUUUUAAAAUUCUUUACACUUAAAAUCUCUAUUAAAAAAAAUAUAUUGUAUCAAUAUUCUUUUACCAAAUUACCUUUUCUAAAAAAGAGUGAUAAUUUGUUUUCCACGAAAAAUAAAGUUUCAAAGGAAUUCAUAAGUAAAAAAUAAAAAAUUGAGCUAUCAACAUUGAGUUAUGUAAUUUACAUAAAAGGUAAGUAAGAAAAAAAAAAACUACUUUUGGCCUUUAAUUUGUUUCUCUUCUUAUUGAUGCUCUUAUCAUCUUUCAUAAUUUAUUUUACUUUUUUGAGUUACAACAUGUUUGCAAACUUAAAAACUCAAUUGACAUCAUUAAUACUAAUGUAAGUUUAUGUCAUUCAUCAAAAUCAAUCAUCUUAAUUCGAUAGUUCCUCUUUUUUUUAUGGAUGACAAAACUUAAUUUUCAAAUGACAUAUAUAUAACAUGUAAAGGAGCAUUAAAGAGAAAUUGGAAGCUUCUCCUCUUACUAUGUGCUCCCUAUUCUUUUAGUUUUAAAGAAUAAGUAAAAAAUAAGAACUUUUGUCAUAUAUUCAACGAAGUAUCUCAAAAAGCUCAUAAAAACUACUCACUACCACUUUCCAUAUUUAACCAAUAAUAUGAGAAUAGUAUUUCUAGUGAAAGGGAAGAUUCAUUCACUUUUUGUUACAAAGAUUUUGUCUCAAAAAUUUUUCUCUCCUAAAGAGUCAUCGCUACUAUGGAUUGAUCCCCCCCUUUUUCUUCCCUUUAAUCAAAAAGUUAUAUUGGAUUAAAAAAGAAAUCUUUUUCCCUAUUUGAUGUCUUAAGGAUAAAUAAAUAAGAUAAAAAAGACA
RNAcentral lists this long non-coding RNA (1118 nucleotides) under Carica papaya (papaya). RNAcentral describes it as "long non-coding RNA (CPAP_LNC013183)". The record is from RNAcentral. Lineage: Eukaryota; Viridiplantae; Streptophyta; Magnoliopsida; Brassicales; Caricaceae.